GCCUACCAUGGUGUUAACGGGUAACGGGGAAUUAGGGUUCGAUUCCGGAGAGGGAGCCUGAGAAACGGCUACCACAUCCAAGGAAGGCAGCAGGCGCGCAAAUUACCCAAUCCCGAUACGGGGAGGUAGUGACAAUAAAUAACAAUACAGGGCUUUCUAGUCUUGUAAUUGGAAUGAGUACAAUUUAAAUCCCUUAACGAGGAACAAUUGGAGGGCAAGUCUGGUGCCAGCAGCCGCGGUAAUUCCAGCUCCAAUAGCGUAUAUUAAAGUUGUUGCAGUUAAAAAGCUCGUAGUUGAAUUUCGGGGUUAGUAGGUUGGUCAUGCCUCUGGUAUGUACUGAUCUCACUGAUUCCUCCCUCUUGACGAACUGUAAUGUCAUUAAUUUGGUGUUGCAGGAAAUCAGGACUGUUACUUUGAAAAAAUUAGAGUGUUUAAAGCAGGCUAAGGCCUGAAUACAUUAGCAUGGAAUAAUGAAAUAGGACGUUUGAACCUAUUUUGUUGGUUUCUAGGAUCGACGUAAUGAUUAAUAGGGAUAGUUGGGGGCAUUAGUAUUCAAUUGUCAGAGGUGAAAUUCUUGGAUUUAUUGAAGACUAACUACUGCGAAAGCAUUUGCCAAGGAUGUUUUCAUUAAUCAAGAACGAAAGUUAGGGGAUCGAAGACGAUCAGAUACCGUCGUA
This 677-nucleotide ribosomal RNA is filed under the name uncultured Glomus. Its description in RNAcentral is "SSU rRNA". It matches the Rfam family "Eukaryotic small subunit ribosomal RNA", at positions 339 to 1022 of the family's 1831-position model. The record is from RNAcentral. Lineage: Eukaryota; Fungi; Glomeromycota; Glomeromycetes; Glomerales; Glomeraceae.